GGGUCCUUGUUCUGGCCAUUAGCAGUACAUAAAUAUAAAAUAUUAACGGGGAACAGUUUUGUAGGGAGUCUGUGUGCCUAAAAGCAGCUCGUCGAGUAUGAUCCACGCUCCUGAGCGCCUUAUUGAGAGCUUGUUGCUCGGUUAACUCGCCUAGUGAUACUUGGCUGGAAACCGCCUGGCCGCUCGGCGUGUACUGGUCGGCGGGCUUUUCUGUGGCAUGCCGUGGCGUGGGAACAGGACUUUUACUGUGAAAAAAUUAGAGUGCUCAGCAGGCAUGCUCGAAUACAUUAGCAUGGAAUAAUAGAAUAGGACGUGUGUUCUAUUUUGUUGGUUUCUAGGACCGCCGUAAUGAUUAAUAGGGACAGUCGGGGCAUCAGUAUUCAAUUGUCAGAGGUGAAAUCUUGGAUUAUUGAAGACUAACUACUGCGAAAGCAUUUGCCAAGGAUGUUUCAUUAAUCAGGAACGAAAGUUAGGGGAUCGAAGACGAUCAGAUACCGUCGUAGUCUUAACCAUAAACUAUGCGACUAGGGAUCGGACGGUGUUAUUUUUUGACCGUUCGGCACCUUACGAGAAUCAAAGUGCUUGGGCUCCAGGGGGAGUAUGGUCGCAAGGCUGAAACUUAAGAAAUUGACGGAAGGCACCACCAGGGGUGGAGCCUGCGGCUUAAUUUGCACCGGAUCCCGGUCAACACAAUGAGGAUGACAGAUGAGCUUUUCUGAUUGUGGGGUGGGCCGUAGGGUGAGUGAUUGUGCUAAUUGCGAAACGACGAGACUUAACCUGCUAAUAGCCGUAUUGCUCUGGCAGUCGCGGCUUCUUAGAGGACUAUCGGCUCAGCGAUGGAAGUUUGAGGCAUAACAGGUCUGUGAUGCCUUAGAUGUUCUGGCCGCACGCGCGCUACACUGACGGAGCCAGCGAGUACUUCCUUGUCCGAAAGGUCCGGGUAAUCUGUUAACUCCGUCGUGCUGGGGAUAGAGCAUUGCAAUUAUUGCUCUUCACGAGGAAUCCUGUAGCGCAGUCAUCAGCUUGCGUUGAUUACGUCCUGCCUUUGUACACACCGCCCGUCGCUACUACGAUUGAAUGGCUCAGUGAGCGUCCGGACUGCCAGAUGUGCAACUACGCUCAGGCGGAAAGCUCCAAACUCGGUCAUUAGAGAAGUAAAAGUCGUAACAAGUCUCGUUGGUGAACAGCGGAGG
RNAcentral lists this ribosomal RNA (1193 nucleotides) under Fusarium culmorum. Its description in RNAcentral is "SSU rRNA". It matches the Rfam family "Eukaryotic small subunit ribosomal RNA", at positions 636 to 1823 of the family's 1831-position model. The record is from RNAcentral. Lineage: Eukaryota; Fungi; Ascomycota; Sordariomycetes; Hypocreales; Nectriaceae.